Molecule: unclassified non-coding RNA, 250 nt
Filed under: plant metagenome
Description: partial contains small subunit ribosomal RNA and internal transcribed spacer 1
Source: RNAcentral
AAGGUCGUAACAAGGUUUCCCGUAGGAUGAACCUGCGGAAGGAUCAUUAAAGAGUUAGGGUCCCUAGUGGGCCCGAACCUCCAACCCUUUGUUGUCGACAAAAAAUUCGUUGCUUUGGCGGGACGUCCCCCCCGUUCACGGGGGGAGGGCUGCCGGGCUCUUAACCGAGCCGGGUAUGCGCCCGCCAGAGUCAAACUCCAACUCUUCUCUUGAACAGUACAGUCUGAGUAAAACUUUUAAUUAAUUAAAA